CAGCAAUCUAUUUGCAUAUUUCCUUUGUGCAGUCCAACUCAGAGAGCCAAUGCAGCCACUAACAUGGCCAAAGGGAUUCCUCCUUGCGACGGCGCUGCCCUCCAUAGCAAACAACCUAAAGCUUACCGUCUUCAGGCCCCUUUAAAGAAAGAUCUUCUUUCAUCAAGGAGCCUAAAGACACAACAGGAGCCUCCUCUCCAACAGCGAGAUCGUGUGGGCUUUCAUCUAGCUUCUGGCUUUUUGGGACCUGGCACGUUGAGCUCGGAAUGCUCCCGGAGAACUCCCCACAGUGAAGGUACCUGAAGGAUUCCGAACAAUGUUUGAAAGCUUGUUGUGUGUGCAGUUGCUGGACAAACAGUGCUUGGAUUAUGAGGCGCAGUGGCAUCAGCUCAUCUUGAACUGCUUGAAUGCAUGCCUCCUGUGAUAGCUUCUGGCAGUUGAUGUUGCUGCAGAGUCUUGCCUUCUCUUCAUUGGAUACCCAAGGAUGUGCCUGAGGAAGCAAUGAACAAAUCCUAGCAACAUCAUGUAGUAGAAUUCGAAGUGGCUGAAUAGAUUUGGGAGGAGUUCGUACCGACAAGAAGGUGUUGAUUGCUUUGUAGAGAUGGUCAUGAGUGUCUCGAUCAGCCAUUGGUACUGUCUCGACAAGUUUCAUGAAUCGAUCAGGUCCAAGCAUUGGGUCAACGGCAAUAUGGGAGAGAUAUAUGUCCCACAGUUCUGCAACAGUUGAGCUACUAUUUGCGGCAGUCGUCUCGUUCCUGGAUGAUACGUGGAUCGAGACCACCCUCUCCAUUGUUUGGAGCUCGGGACUGCUUGCUAUGUUCUGCAGUGUGUUGUCAGGGAGGAGAAAGUCUUCCGCUUGGGCCAAGUGCAAAUGAUAUGCUACAAGAUCUUGCAGCUUCAGUCUGAUACUAUCAUUCAGAUUAAGCGAAAGCGACAUCGAGAGCAAUGCGAAGUAGAAUGUCACAGGGACGAUCUCAGCGCUGUUUGCAGCUGGAAGCAGCUCGAGGAUGCCUCGUAAGAUGGCUGAAACCUUGUUGCCAGCAGUGCCAGUUCCAUCUUCUUCGGCUGUGUUCUCCCAGAACUUGGACCGGAUUAUUCUUCUGAAGAAUUGGAAUGGCAGGGCUAUGAGAUCCUUGAUCCACAGGUCUUGCCCGGCAACCUCCUUCACCGCCUCGGAGUCCCAAGGCCGGCCGGCCAAGGCCUGGAGAGUGGGGACGGGCCGGUCUCGCCUCUGCUCCGGAUCGAGAAUCUCCAUGCAGGCCAUGAAAGCUAAGGACUCGACGCAUCGGCUCACGAUCAGAAGCUCUUCUGCCAUCGGAAGCAACGUUUGACAGGUCUGGAGAACUAUCAGAGUGUCAUCCCAGCUCUGCAGCACCACUUGGUUGAGGUACAAGUCGGAAGUCUCGCACAGGUUUCUGGAGGUCUGCUCUUCCGUCAUCUGGAGGAACUCGGCAGCGCACCGGAGCGCCGAGACGUUGAAGGGGUCGAGAGGAAGCGGAGAAUCGUAGGCGAAGAGCGCAACCAUCUCGAAGGUCUCUGAACCACCGGGGAAGCUGUGAUGCAAUUCGACGUCGGACGACGACUCGAUCAGUGCCUUCUUGAAGUACCCACUCCUUGAGAUCAGGGGCAGCUGCAAGGCACACAAGAACACCAUGGACACGUUAGCAAGGAGAAACUACCACAGCUGGUAUCAUAGAUAGCCGCCAUGCUGCUUCGAUUCUGACCAUGUGCAGGUUGAAGAUCUUGCCAUGAAUCCGGACACAGACUGAUGCUGGUGAUCCAGUCUCUUGGCUCCUGACAUCAUGGGAUUCAGAGACAAACGCAUCAGGCAGUGAAGAAGGAGAGGAGAAGCAGCAAGAAAAUGAUUGUUGGGAUCAAAAUAAGCAAUCGAGAGCCACUGAUGACGAUCAUCACCAUGUAAAUACCACUUUCUUCAGCAAGGCUGCUGGCUUUGGACUCGAGAAUGGACUAGCUCGAGCACUGGUGGAAUCCAUGUCAUAGACUCCACUGCAGAUCAACCCAGCUCAAGUUCCACACUGGGAUGCUAAUAGAAGAGAAGAGAAGAUGGCACGGAGGAUGCUGAGGGAAAGCUUUGCAGGGAAGGAAGCUGUCCGGUGUGUCACACACUUUCAUGCAGACUCCGCUGUUCGAAGUCUGAGAUCGAGUCAAAGGGGGCACAAGAACAGUGACUGAGGCCGCACGAAUGGGGGUUGAAUCCGAGCUUUAAGGCUUGGAAUUCGGGGGAAGGAAAGGAUUUUGGAGAAUUGUGUGCUGCAGGGGAGCAUAAUAAAUCCCCAUCUAUCUCUCUUUC
Musa acuminata AAA Group (dessert banana) is the source of this 2311-nucleotide long non-coding RNA. RefSeq lists it as uncharacterized. The record is from RefSeq and is a predicted model, not a curated record. The transcript is spliced from 3 exons. NCBI's taxonomy places the organism in Eukaryota, Viridiplantae, Streptophyta, Magnoliopsida, Zingiberales, Musaceae.